AGGAACCAAAAUGAGGCAUUUUGAUAGAUGACCAACAGUACAUGGUUUUGUAUUUUUCUGAAAGGAGGUGUCUUUCUUUGGAUAUGAUUUAUUGAGACUGUGAUGUUAAUAUUCUUGAUUUCUUGGAAUUGUCUUUAACAUCUGUCGAUGCCAAGAUGGGAAGAUCUACAGGUACAGUGGACGAGAGGAUGGAAUUGGAUAUCUUGGUUUGUAGGAAUCUGAUCGAAGAUGCGUUAGAACGAAUCAAUGAUAUUGUUCCUUCCAGGGAUCCACCGUGUCCAUUUGUUAU
This is a long non-coding RNA of Brassica oleracea var. oleracea, 289 nucleotides long. RefSeq lists it as uncharacterized. NCBI's taxonomy places the organism in Eukaryota, Viridiplantae, Streptophyta, Magnoliopsida, Brassicales, Brassicaceae. The record is from RefSeq and is a predicted model, not a curated record. The transcript has 3 exons.